RNAcentral lists this ribosomal RNA (433 nucleotides) under uncultured bacterium. RNAcentral's name for it is "partial 16S ribosomal RNA". It matches the Rfam family "Bacterial small subunit ribosomal RNA", at positions 29 to 507 of the family's 1533-position model. The record is from RNAcentral.
AACGAACGCUGGCGGCAUGCCUAACACAUGCAAGUCGAACGAGACCUUCGGGUCUAGUGGCGCAUGGGUGCGUAACGCGUGGGAUCCUGCCCUUAGGUUCGGAAUAACUCUCCGAAAGGGGUGCUAAUACCGGAUAAUGUCUUCGGACCAAAGAUUUAUCGCCUUUGGAUGGGCCAGCGUUGGAUUAGCUAGUUGGUAGGGUAAAAGCCUACCAAGGCGACGAUCCAUAGCUGGUCUGAGAGGAUGAUCAGCCACACUGGGACUGAGACACGGCCCAGACUCCUACGGGAGGCAGCAGUGGGGAAUAUUGGACAAUGGGCGAAAGCCUGAUCCAGCAAGGCCGCGUGAGUGAUGAAGGCCUUAGGGUUGUAAAGCUCUUUUACCCGGGAUGAUAAUGACAGUACCGGGAGAAUAAGCUCCGGCUAACUCCGUG